AUAAACCGCUUUCGCAGACGCGCGGCGAUACGCUCACGCAGAGUUCCCCG
This 50-nucleotide small RNA is filed under the name Escherichia coli. RNAcentral describes it as "RNA66_SPACER1". Lineage: Bacteria; Pseudomonadati; Pseudomonadota; Gammaproteobacteria; Enterobacterales; Enterobacteriaceae. The record is from RNAcentral.